AUACGUAGGGAGCAAGCGUUAUCCGGAUUUACUGGGUGUAAGGGGAGCGUAGGCGGAUAUUUAAGUGGGAUGUGAAAUACCCGAGCUUAACUCCGGAACUGCGCCUAAAACUAUCAAUCUAGAGUAUUGGAGAGGCAAGCGGAAUUUCUGGUGUAGCGGUAAAAUGCGCAGAUAUCAGAAGGAACACCGAAGGCGAAGGCAGCUUGCUGGACAAUAACUGACGCUCAUGCUCGAAAGCGUGGGGAGC
RNAcentral lists this ribosomal RNA (247 nucleotides) under uncultured bacterium. RNAcentral's name for it is "partial 16S ribosomal RNA". It matches the Rfam family "Bacterial small subunit ribosomal RNA", at positions 523 to 769 of the family's 1533-position model. The record is from RNAcentral.